RNAcentral lists this long non-coding RNA (758 nucleotides) under Homo sapiens (human). RNAcentral's name for it is "HSALNT0356729". Lineage: Eukaryota; Metazoa; Chordata; Mammalia; Primates; Hominidae. The record is from RNAcentral.
GUUAAGAAUUUUGUUUAGUGUCAACUUUAUUCACUGAGGGUACUUCCUCAAAAGGCUGAACCCAGGAAUGCUGGGAGCUUUUGGUUAACACCUUUAGACUAUUAGAAUCUGAAGAAGACUGCGAGCGAUCUGAAUGCAACACUCGGAGCACUCAAAUGUGAGCAGAAAUACAGCUUUUCAUGUAAACUAAGUGAAGAAGGAGACAACAGCUCAACAAGCAUAAAGGGAGAUGCUCAGGCUUGUUGGCAAUCAGACAGUGGUAAGAUGGACACCUAAAGUGUGAUGAGUACGCCCCAGGAAAUGUUUUGCAGCAGGGAGAAGCAAUGGACUGGAUGUAUACAUCAAAGCCAAGAUGGAUCUUUAAGACAUAGAAAGAAGGGGAAAAUGUAAUAAACAAAAUGGUCUUGCUUUGUUGCCCAGCCUAGCGUGCAGUGGUGUGACUCUAGCUCACUACAGCCUCUGACCUCCCAGGCAUAAGUGAUCCUCCUGCCUCAGCCUCCCACCAUCAGGACUGCAGGGAUGCGCCACUACAAUCAGUGAAUAUUUUUAAAAUUUAUUUUUGUGCAGAGACCGGGCCUUACUAUGUUGCCCAGGCUGGUUUUAAACUAAUGGGCUCAAGCUAUCCUCCUGCCUUGGCUUCCCAAAGUGCUGGAACUGCAGGCAAGAGCCACCAUGCCCAGCUUCUUCUCUCUUUUAACUUUAUUUGUACAUUGCCUUAAUCUUUCAGAACAAUGUUUAACAAUGAACAUAAUAAUGGC